CAAAAGAGAAAAUGCAGCACUCAGACAAUCUCUCGCCAUGAUUGAAGAUAUGGCUGGUGAGAGAGGAAAAACUGUUUCUAAUGGUGGAACUGGCAGAGGGUGUUAAAUUCCAGGUGAACCAUAUCACUCGACUGAGCAAGGAACCAUCAAAGUGCAUUUCUGAGCUCAUGACAGCUCUGUUUCUCAGAGAGGUGAUGGCCGUCUCUUCGUUGACAGGAAAACAUUUGAUUGCAUUCUGGGACCAGGAGGCACAGAAAAAAGCUUUGCCCAACCAAAGUGCCAUUUGCACCUUUUAUUUAGGCGAAACCAGAUGGAGGAGAAGGAUGUCUUUAAAAUAAUUGAACUGAAG
Oncorhynchus masou masou (cherry salmon) is the source of this 349-nucleotide long non-coding RNA. RefSeq lists it as uncharacterized. NCBI's taxonomy places the organism in Eukaryota, Metazoa, Chordata, Actinopteri, Salmoniformes, Salmonidae. The record is from RefSeq and is a predicted model, not a curated record. The transcript is spliced from 4 exons.